UGAAGCUCAGUAUUAGCCAUUCCCUAUAUUGAAGCAAUUGUUAACUAACAGUAAUUUUACAAAACCAUUGUCAUAGCAUAUAUAAGAUGAUUCAUGAUACCCCUCCAGUUAAAAUGCUCAAAUGGCCAAAGCACAAUGUUAACCAUGACAGUUCAAAGUCAUUGUUCAGCGGAAAACCAACAUUAGAAUAAGAAAAAUGUCUAGACAAAAGUGAGCAUACACUUAUGCGUGCUUUGUUCAAAUAUUAAUAACAUCUAGACCAUUUACAUAAUCAUUUCCCUAGACUAUAAUUAGGUAGCAAUUACUUACUAAUGAUAUAUUUGCAACCUACACCAGUCUAUGUUAUAUUGUGACUGAUACAACUAACAAAUCCAAUUUUCACAUCACUCAAUUCCAUGCAAAUUGAUUCCUGCAUUAGCAUUUACUCACCAGAAGCCUGUAUUGACUAAGAA
RNAcentral lists this unclassified non-coding RNA (452 nucleotides) under Hevea brasiliensis (rubber tree). The record is from RNAcentral. Lineage: Eukaryota; Viridiplantae; Streptophyta; Magnoliopsida; Malpighiales; Euphorbiaceae.